This 1570-nucleotide ribosomal RNA is filed under the name Enterococcus faecium. Its description in RNAcentral is "bacterial SSU rRNA". It matches the Rfam family "Bacterial small subunit ribosomal RNA". The record is from RNAcentral. Lineage: Bacteria; Bacillati; Bacillota; Bacilli; Lactobacillales; Enterococcaceae.
UUUUUAUGAGAGUUUGAUCCUGGCUCAGGACGAACGCUGGCGGCGUGCCUAAUACAUGCAAGUCGAACGCUUCUUUUUCCACCGGAGCUUGCUCCACCGGAAAAAGAGGAGUGGCGAACGGGUGAGUAACACGUGGGUAACCUGCCCAUCAGAAGGGGAUAACACUUGGAAACAGGUGCUAAUACCGUAUAACAAUCGAAACCGCAUGGUUUUGAUUUGAAAGGCGCUUUCGGGUGUCGCUGAUGGAUGGACCCGCGGUGCAUUAGCUAGUUGGUGAGGUAACGGCUCACCAAGGCCACGAUGCAUAGCCGACCUGAGAGGGUGAUCGGCCACAUUGGGACUGAGACACGGCCCAAACUCCUACGGGAGGCAGCAGUAGGGAAUCUUCGGCAAUGGACGAAAGUCUGACCGAGCAACGCCGCGUGAGUGAAGAAGGUUUUCGGAUCGUAAAACUCUGUUGUUAGAGAAGAACAAGGAUGAGAGUAACUGUUCAUCCCUUGACGGUAUCUAACCAGAAAGCCACGGCUAACUACGUGCCAGCAGCCGCGGUAAUACGUAGGUGGCAAGCGUUGUCCGGAUUUAUUGGGCGUAAAGCGAGCGCAGGCGGUUUCUUAAGUCUGAUGUGAAAGCCCCCGGCUCAACCGGGGAGGGUCAUUGGAAACUGGGAGACUUGAGUGCAGAAGAGGAGAGUGGAAUUCCAUGUGUAGCGGUGAAAUGCGUAGAUAUAUGGAGGAACACCAGUGGCGAAGGCGGCUCUCUGGUCUGUAACUGACGCUGAGGCUCGAAAGCGUGGGGAGCAAACAGGAUUAGAUACCCUGGUAGUCCACGCCGUAAACGAUGAGUGCUAAGUGUUGGAGGGUUUCCGCCCUUCAGUGCUGCAGCUAACGCAUUAAGCACUCCGCCUGGGGAGUACGACCGCAAGGUUGAAACUCAAAGGAAUUGACGGGGGCCCGCACAAGCGGUGGAGCAUGUGGUUUAAUUCGAAGCAACGCGAAGAACCUUACCAGGUCUUGACAUCCUUUGACCACUCUAGAGAUAGAGCUUCCCCUUCGGGGGCAAAGUGACAGGUGGUGCAUGGUUGUCGUCAGCUCGUGUCGUGAGAUGUUGGGUUAAGUCCCGCAACGAGCGCAACCCUUAUUGUUAGUUGCCAUCAUUCAGUUGGGCACUCUAGCAAGACUGCCGGUGACAAACCGGAGGAAGGUGGGGAUGACGUCAAAUCAUCAUGCCCCUUAUGACCUGGGCUACACACGUGCUACAAUGGGAAGUACAACGAGUGGCGAAGUCGCGAGGCUAAGCUAAUCUCUUAAAGCUUCUCUCAGUUCGGAUUGCAGGCUGCAACUCGCCUGCAUGAAGCCGGAAUCGCUAGUAAUCGCGGAUCAGCACGCCGCGGUGAAUACGUUCCCGGGCCUUGUACACACCGCCCGUCACACCACGAGAGUUUGUAACACCCGAAGUCGGUGAGGUAACCUUUUUGGAGCCAGCCGCCUAAGGUGGGAUAGAUGAUUGGGGUGAAGUCGUAACAAGGUAGCCGUAUCGGAAGGUGCGGCUGGAUCACCUCCUUUCUAAGGAA